AAUACAUCUAACAUGCUAACGCAUAUCCGACGGCAUCACCCAGAUGUGCCAAUCACUGGAACAAGACAAAAAAAACUGUCCAACUUCUCCUCCCUACAAUGCUUAACCAGCCUUUAGAUACAAAUACAAAUAGGGCCAAAAAAGUCACUGAAGCAAUCGGAAUUUACAUGUCAUCUUCAAUGCGCCCAUAUUCACUCGUAGAGGAACCUGGCUUCAAGUAUUUGCUGUAUGUACUCGAACCUCGUUACAACAUGCCAUCCCGUCCACACAUGAGGCUUAACUGUAACAGACCUCUUUCACAGCCG
Molecule: long non-coding RNA, 305 nt
Organism: Sander lucioperca (pikeperch)
Lineage: Eukaryota; Metazoa; Chordata; Actinopteri; Perciformes; Percidae
Exons: 3
Source: RefSeq, a predicted model, not a curated record